AUUGAACGCUGGCGGCAGGCCUAACACAUGCAAGUCGAACGGUAACAGGAAGAAGCUUGCUUCUUUGCUGACGAGUGGCGGACGGGUGAGUAAUGUCUGGGAAACUGCCUGAUGGAGGGGGAUAACUACUGGAAACGGUAGCUAAUACCGCAUAACGUCGCAAGACCAAAAAGGGGGACCUUCGGGCCUCUUGCCAUCGGAUGUGCCCAGAUGGGAUUAGCUAGUAGGUGGGGUAACGGCUCACCUAGGCGACGAUCCCUAGCUGGUCUGAGAGGAUGACCAGCCACACUGGAACUGAGACACGGUCCAGACUCCUACGGGAGGCAGCAGUGGGGAAUAUUGCACAAUGGGCGCAAGCCUGAUGCAGCCAUGCCGCGUGUAUGAAGAAGGUCUUCGGGUUGUAAAGUACUUUCAGCGGGGAGGAAGGGAGUAAAGUUAAUACCUUUGCUCAUUGACGUUACCCGCAGAAGAAGCACCGGCUAACUCCGUG
Molecule: ribosomal RNA, 490 nt
Filed under: uncultured bacterium
Lineage: Bacteria
Description: partial 16S ribosomal RNA
Rfam family: Bacterial small subunit ribosomal RNA
Source: RNAcentral